Molecule: ribosomal RNA, 1238 nt
Filed under: Micrococcus endophyticus
Lineage: Bacteria; Bacillati; Actinomycetota; Actinomycetes; Micrococcales; Micrococcaceae
Description: bacterial SSU rRNA
Rfam family: Bacterial small subunit ribosomal RNA
Source: RNAcentral
GGAGCCGGUGCUUACAAUGCAGUCACACGCUGAAGCCCCAGCUUGCUGGGGUGGAUGAUGGUAACGGGUGAGUAACGAGUGAGUAACCUUCCCUUGACUCUGGGAUAACACUGGGAAACCGGGUCUAAUACCGGAUGCGACCGUCCACCGCAUGGUGGGGGGUGGAAAGAUUUAUCGGUCUUGGAUGGACUCGCGGCCUAUCAGCUUGUUGGUGGGGUAAUGGCCCACCAAGGCGACAACGGGUAGCCGGCCUGAAAGGGUGACCGGCCACACUGGGACUGAAACACGGCCCAAACUCCUACGGGAGGCAGCAGUGGGGAAUAUUGCACAAUGGGCGCAAGCCUGAUGCAGCGACGCCGCGUGAGGGAUGACGGCCUUCGGGUUGUAAACCUCUUUCAGUAGGGAAGAAGCGAAAGUGACGGUACCUGCAGAAGAAGCGCCGGCUAACUACGUGCCAGCAGCCGCGGUAAUACGUAGGGCGCGAGCGUUAUCCGGAAUUAUUGGGCGUAAAGAGCUCGUAGGCGGUUUGUCACGUCUGCCGUGAAAGUCCGGGGCUUAACCCCGGAUCUGCGGUGGGUACGGGCAGACUGGAGUGCAGUAGGGGAGACUGGAAUUCCUGGUGUAGCGGUGAAAUGCGCAGAUAUCAGGAGGAACACCGAUGGCGAAGGCAGGUCUCUGGGCUGUUACUGACGCUGAGGAGCGAAAGCAUGGGGAGCGAACAGGAUUAGAUACCCUGGUAGUCCAUGCCGUAAACGUUGGGCACUAGGUGUGGGGGCCAUUCCACGGUUUCCGCGCCGCAGCUAACGCAUUAAGUGCCCCGCCUGGGGAGUACGGCCGCAAGGCUAAAACUCAAAGGAAUUGACGGGGCCCGCACAAGCGGCGGAGCAUGCGGAUUAAUUCGAUGCAACGCGAAGAAUCUUACCAAGGCUUGACAUGUUCCCGACCGCCACAGAGAUGUGGUUUCCCCUUUGGGGCGGGUUCACAGGUGGUGCAUGGUUGUCGUCAGCUCGUGUCGUGAGAUGUGGGUAAGUCCCGCACGAGCGCACCUCGUCAUGUGCAGCGGGUUAUGCGGGACUCAUGGGAGACUGCGGUCACUCGGAGGAGGUGGGACGACGUCAAUCAUCAUGCCUUAGUCUGGCUUCACGCAUGCUACAUGCGGUACAUGGGUGCAAUCCUGGAGGUGACAUAUCCACAGCGUCAGUCGGAUGGUUGCAAUGAACCAAUGAAGUCGGAUCCGC